CACAGACGUUUUCUUCGAAGUGUCAGAUGCUUCUGUAAAACAGUUAAAUUAUUUUGUUAAAUUAAUUAUGCAAUCGACUAAUACGAACCUACUCACAUAGUUCUAGAUGGAAAUGUAAAACAGAUUGUCAUUCUAAAAUAAAAUCAAACAACUGACUUGUGUGUUCAAGUUCUGGGAACUGGAUGAUGAUCGUCUUUCUGACGGUUUCGUCAAAGAUUUCCGUUGAUCUUCGUUUACGCCGAUUCGGUCCAUUUCCGGUACUACAGUUCAUCUACAAUUAGAUAUCGUUACUGUUACACACACACGUUAAUUAUUCUACACUACACCUUUAUACCUAUAUUAGGAAUAAAAUAUUGUGUUAUGCGAGGCUCUAUGGAUCUGUAUCUAGUGUCUCGUGUAUAGGACAGCCUCUCACGAGGAAAUCCUUUACUGAAGAUUUCAUCCUUUUUAAUCCUGUUUAAUUUACUGAUUGUUGUCGACAUUCCAGGAGAGUCUCAUAGGGAUGCAUUCGAGGUUUUUUUUAAAUUAGAUAUUUUACCAUCAUUACACAAUAUUUUCAUAUAUUUACCAUUUGUGGCACCCAGUAACCAAUAUGCAUUUUUGUGCUCGGGUAUCGUUAAACAUUCAUUCAUUCACCAUCAAUACAAAAUAUAGUUUUCACCAGAACAAAAUGUCAGCCUUUAAAAUCGGCAUAUGAUGAGCAUGCCCUAAGGUGUCUCAGAACUUGCAAAAUACAGACACCAAAAGCUGGAGCAGAAGGAAUAUUGCUAGACAUGAAGAGAUUGGAAAGCUGAAGUCAUGCUUUUUAUUAUACAACUUUGUAUGCAGGUCAACGUUGUUCUGAAUCUUUGUGUAUAUAUCAAGGUAUGAAACAGAUUGUAUACUUCCUGUAGUUUCCUUUAUGUCCAACUCUGGUGGAUAAACCAAUGACAGGUAAUAUGUGAUCUUAUUAUUAUUAUUAUAGAAAAUAAUAUAAGAUUAUUAAUGAAUGAUAAUAGAUCAUGAAUAUAUCAAAAGGUGAAAUUAAAACCUUUUUCUUCAGA
Long non-coding RNA from Gigantopelta aegis, 1043 nucleotides. RefSeq lists it as uncharacterized. The record is from RefSeq and is a predicted model, not a curated record. The transcript has 2 exons. Lineage: Eukaryota; Metazoa; Mollusca; Gastropoda; Neomphalida; Peltospiridae.